CGUGACGCGCCCCCAUAAAUCUGCCCGGCCCGGGGCUGCUCCGAGAACUCGUACAGUAGCGGCGUCAGACUCGACGCGCGCCUCCCAGUCCGGAGCCUAUUUGCAUAAUUGGAUCUUUCUUUCUUUCUUUUUUUUUCUUUCUUUUUUUCCUUUCCCCUCAUUCUCCCUCCCUGAAACUUGUUUGAAAACCCAAGUGAAAACUGCGACGACCUGCACGCUCAAAAGCGAGUGCCAAUUCCUGACCACCACGGCUUUAAGAAUAUCCACCAGCCACGAGGGAGCUCCGUUGCUUUCAGACUCGCCUGGGAACUGGGACGCCCCUCUGGCAAUCUGUCAGUGCCUGGAUCAGCUGCAUCCUUUCUGGGGUAUUUUCUCACCAGACUGACAGUCCUUAAGACAAGUAUGCAGUUAAGCUGCUAAGGUAAGUCUUAUGAUGUUGGAACUCUUUGCCCUGGACACACAUCAUUUCCUCCUGCUUU
Molecule: long non-coding RNA, 479 nt
Filed under: Bos mutus (wild yak)
Lineage: Eukaryota; Metazoa; Chordata; Mammalia; Artiodactyla; Bovidae
Description: lncRNA (ENSBMUG00000008985.1)
Source: RNAcentral